This 1194-nucleotide unclassified non-coding RNA is filed under the name Hevea brasiliensis (rubber tree). Lineage: Eukaryota; Viridiplantae; Streptophyta; Magnoliopsida; Malpighiales; Euphorbiaceae. The record is from RNAcentral.
AAUGCAGAAGAGAGGGAGCGUGUAACUGCAAGUGGGGGUGAAGUAGGAAGGCUAAAUGUUUUUGGGGGCAAUGAGGUUGGUCCCUUGCGCUGCUGGCCAGGUGGAUUAUGUCUUUCUAGGUCAAUUGGAGAUACAGAUGUUGGAGAGUUUAUUGUUCCAAUACCACAUGUCAAGCAAGUGAAGCUAUCAAGUGCUGGGGGAAGGCUCAUUAUUGCUUCUGAUGGUAUCUGGGAUGCAUUAUCUUCUGACAUGGCUGCAAAGUCUUGUCGCGGUUUACCUGCAGAGCUUGCUGCCAAGUUGGUGGUUAAGGAGGCUUUAAGGUCAAGAGGGCUGAAGGAUGAUACAACAUGCCUUGUUGUUGAUAUUAUCCCAUCUGAUGUCCCCGUCUUACCUUCUAUACCAAGGAAGAAGCAAAACAUGCUUAGUUCACUUCUGUUUGGAAAGAAAUCUCUAAAUUCUGUUAACAAAGCAACAAAUAAGCUUUCUGCUGUUGGAGUGGUAGAGGAGUUGUUUGAAGAGGGUUCUGCUAUGCUUGCUGAAAGGUUGGGUAAAGAUUUUCCUUCAAUCACAAACUCUGGGCUAUACAGAUGUGCCGUAUGCCAAAUUGAUCAAACCCCCACUGACAGUUUAUCAGUAAACUCAGGGUCUUUUUUCUCACCUGGAUCAAAGCCAUGGGAAGGACCCUUCCUCUGCCCUAACUGUCGAAAAAAGAAAGACGCCAUGGAAGGGAAAAUACCGAGCAGACCCACAGUGACUGCAUAGAAAAUCACCUGGUGAGAGUAAAAAUUAUAUUUUUUUGGCUGGAAGUGUGAGCAUGCAUGCGUGGUUUUUUUGCUUUCUGGUACUGAUUGUAAUAGAUGUAUGAGAAAUGAGUUAGAGAUAUAGUGCCUAGGUGUUUCGCUUCACAACUGGUUGUCGACUCUGGUUUUUUCCAGCUUUUAUUAAAACUGACAGGGGACAGAAAUGCCGCCCGAUAGAUAUGUUUGUGAUAGUUUGAUGGCUAACAGCUUGAAGUUGUAAGUAAAAAUGAAGGUUGCAUAGUGAUGUGCUCGUCGCAGCAGCUUCUUUGUUGUGUUUGAAUCCAAGUGGAAAUAUUGCAUCCUUGUGCCUUUUACUUAUUGUACACAUACCUUGUUGGGACAGUAAACAACUUUGGAGGUGGCUUUCCCAACAAGGUAUGUGUACAAUAAGUAA